Molecule: ribosomal RNA, 254 nt
Filed under: uncultured bacterium
Lineage: Bacteria
Description: partial 16S ribosomal RNA
Rfam family: Bacterial small subunit ribosomal RNA
Source: RNAcentral
UACGGAGGGGUGCAAGCGUUGCUCGGAAUUAUUGGGCGUAAAGGGUAGGUAGGUGGUCUCAUUUGGUCUGGGGUGAAGCCUUGAGCUUAACUCAAGAAGUGCCCCGGAAACGGUGAGACUGGAGUCCUGGAGAGGGUCGUGGAAUUCCCGGUGUAGCGGUGAAAUGCGUAGAGAUCGGGAGGAACACCAGAGGCGAAGGCGGCGACCUGGACAGGCACUGACACUCAACUACGAAAGCGUGGGGAGCAAACAGG